AUUGAACGCUGGCGGCAUGCCUUACACAUGCAAGUCGAACGGCAGCACGGGUGCUCGCACCUGGUGGCGAGUGGCGAACGGGUGAGUAAUAUAUCGGAACGUACCUUAUUGUGGGGGAUAACGCAGCGAAAGCUGUGCUAAUACCGCAUAAUCCCUAAGGGGGAAAGCGGGGGACCGUAAGGCCUCGCGCAAUUAGAGCGGCCGAUACCUGAUUAGCUAGUUGGUGAGGUAAAGGCUCACCAAGGCAACGAUCAGUAGCUGGUCUGAGAGGACGAUCAGCCACACUGGGACUGAGACACGGCCCAGACUCCUACGGGAGGCAGCGGUGGGGAAUUUUGGACAAUGGGGGCAACCCUGAUCCAGCAAUGCCGCGUGAGUGAAGAAGGCCUUCGGGUUGUAAAGCUCUUUUGUCAGGGAAGAAACAGCAGCUCUAACACAGUUUGCGAAUGACGGUACCUGAAGAAUAAGCACCGGCUAACUACGUGCCAGCAGCCGCCGUAA
Molecule: ribosomal RNA, 501 nt
Filed under: uncultured bacterium
Lineage: Bacteria
Description: partial 16S ribosomal RNA
Rfam family: Bacterial small subunit ribosomal RNA
Source: RNAcentral